AGUGAACGCUGGCGGUAGGCCUAACACAUGCAAGUCGAACGGCAGCACAGGAGAGCUUGCUCUCUGGGUGGCGAGUGGCGGACGGGUGAGGAAUACAUCGGAAUCUACUCUGUCGUGGGGGAUAACGUAGGGAAACUUACGCUAAUACCGCGUACGACCUACGGGUGAAAGCAGGGGAUCUUCGGACCUUGCGCGAUUGAAUGAGCCGAUGUCGGAUUAGCUAGUUGGCGGGGUAAAGGCCCACCAAGGCGACGAUCCGUAGCUGGUCUGGGAGGAUGAUCAGCCACACUGGAACUGAGACACGGUCCAGACUCCUACGGAAGGCAGCAUUGGGGAAUAUUGGACAAUGGGCGCAAGCCUGAUCCAGCCAUACCGCGUGGGUGAAGAAGGCCUUCGGGUUGUAAAGCCCUUUUGUUGGGAAAGAAAUCCAGCUGGCUAAUACCCGGUUGGGAUGACGGUACCCAAAGAAUAAGCACCGGCUAACUUCGUGCCAGCCGCCGCAGUAA
RNAcentral lists this ribosomal RNA (506 nucleotides) under uncultured bacterium. RNAcentral's name for it is "partial 16S ribosomal RNA". It matches the Rfam family "Bacterial small subunit ribosomal RNA", at positions 29 to 523 of the family's 1533-position model. The record is from RNAcentral.